Molecule: non-coding RNA, 145 nt
Organism: Gossypium raimondii (Peruvian cotton)
Lineage: Eukaryota; Viridiplantae; Streptophyta; Magnoliopsida; Malvales; Malvaceae
Source: Rfam
UGUUAAAAAUUUCAUCAAUUUGUACUGUUAAAAACUGGCAUGGCUGAUAGAAUAAUUAGGUAGUGACACGUGGUGUGCCAAGUGUAUCUCAUGCUGAUGUACAAAGAUCAAUUUUUAACAGUAGAAAUAGAAGGAACUUUUAUCA